CAGCCGCCACGGUAAUACAGAGGGUGCAAGCGUUAAUCGGAAUUACUGGGCGUAAAGCGCGCGUAGGUGGUUUGUUAAGUUGGAUGUGAAAUCCCCGGGCUCAACCUGGGAACUGCAUCCAAAACUGGCAAGCUAGAGUAUGGUAGAGGGUGGUGGAAUUUCCUGUGUAGCGGUGAAAUGCGUAGAUAUAGGAAGGAACACCAGUGGCGAAGGCGACCACCUGGACUGAUACUGACACUGAGGUGCGAAAGCGUGGGGAGCAAACAGGAUUAGAUACCCCCGUAGUCCCUGUUUCUUAUAC
This 301-nucleotide ribosomal RNA is filed under the name uncultured bacterium. RNAcentral describes it as "partial 16S ribosomal RNA". It matches the Rfam family "Bacterial small subunit ribosomal RNA", at positions 509 to 807 of the family's 1533-position model. The record is from RNAcentral.